This 459-nucleotide ribosomal RNA is filed under the name uncultured bacterium. RNAcentral describes it as "partial 16S ribosomal RNA". It matches the Rfam family "Bacterial small subunit ribosomal RNA", at positions 338 to 795 of the family's 1533-position model. The record is from RNAcentral.
CCUACGGGAGGCAGCAGUGAGGAAUAUUGGUCAAUGGACGAGAGUCUGAACCAGCCAAGUAGCGUGAAGGAUGACUGCCCUAUGGGUUGUAAACUUCUUUUAUAUGGGAAUAAAAUGUUCCACGUGUGGGAUUUUGUCUGUACCAUAUGAAUACGGAUCGGCUAACUCCGUGCCAGCAGCCGCGGUAAUACGGAGGUUCCGGGCGUUAUCCGGAUUUAUUGGGUUUAAAGGGAGCGUAGGUGGAUUGUUAAGUCAGUUGUGAAGGUUUGCGGCUCAACCGUAAAAUUGCAGUUGAAACUGGCAGUCUUGAGUACAGUAGAGGUGGGCGGAAUUCGUGGUGUAGCGGUGAAAUGCAUAGAUAUCACGCAGAACUCCGAUUGCGAAGGCAGCUACUAAGCCAUAACUGACACUGAAGCACGAAAGCGUGGGGAUCAAACAGGAUUAGAUACCCGAGUAGUC